Kogia breviceps (pygmy sperm whale) is the source of this 2003-nucleotide non-coding RNA. Lineage: Eukaryota; Metazoa; Chordata; Mammalia; Artiodactyla; Physeteridae. The record is from RefSeq and is a predicted model, not a curated record.
UUACCAUUCUCUGGGCCUAAAUGAAAUGAAAGAUUAGGUCUAGAAGAAGGGAGAGGGAGGACAGAGGAAAUCAUGUCCUGUCUCUCUGAGAUGCUACCCCAGCCCAGGGCUUGAAAUGGAGAACUGAGCACCCAAGACCCAAUAACUGGUUGCAUCACACAACCUAUAUACUGAGGUUAUCCAAAAUGUAAUCCAUCCACUACCUGUGUCCAAAUCUCCUGGGACCUUUGUUGGAAUACCACUUCCUAGGACCUACUCCAGGCCUACAGAUUCAGAUUCUCUGAAGAUGACACCCAGGAACUGGCAUUUUAUCAAACACCCCAGAUGUUUCUGAUUCAUCCCAAGGUUUGAGAACAGCUUUGGGAGCUCAGUAAAAAUAUAAAGAUCAACUGCAUAUUUAUUUACUUCAUGGAAAUAUAAUUUUCUGUAAGAACCUUGAAAAUUUUUAAAUGAAUAAUAUAUUUAUCCCAACAACUCUAAAGGUGAGGCAGUCCCAUUUUCAAAAUGAAAGAAAUCAAGUCUUAAAAUACAUAUGACAUGUUCACCCUUUACACACAGUCAGGAAUCAACUGCCUUGCACUUAGGAAGAGAGUGAUAAAACAGUCAUCAUCUCACUGAUUAGGAUAUUGUAUACUGUAAAUCUAAUCCAGUUGAUUAACUCACCUUUGUAUCCAAUUCCUAGUUAAUUUUAUCUUGUGGGGGAAUGGCAUUUUUCUAAAUUUAUAACUUCAAUAUGCUCCUUAGUUAUGAACAGACUCCCUGACUCAACUACUAAUUUCAUGUUCAGGACACUCUUUUAUUCUUCUUCUAUACAACCCCCAGAAAAGGUAAAUUUUUAGAUAAAUUACUUCCUUUUCUUCCUCCUCUCCACUGGUUAAAGCCAGUCCCCUAGUCAAUUCUCUCAACUGCUAUCCUACCAACUCAAAUUUUGGAAAUGAAAAUGUAAAUUGUAAAAAGAAACCUAAUUGUUGAACAAUUCCUUGUGAUUAAGCAAAUACCUCUAAUCUUUCUCUGGUUUAGCAGUCUCUCUUCCUCUGCUUCUUGGGACUUGUCCCAAGCCUAAGGUGUCCCUGAAACUUGAGGAUCAAGUACUCAAGGCAGCAAUUCAUCAGUCUCAGGGUUUAUUGGAGUCUCCCCAUUUGGGAGAGCUCUGAGAGUUUCAUCACCUUGGAAACAACAGCAGGCUCCCUGAAUAUACACAGGGAGUAUAGAUUUUUAAGCACCAAAAGUAAACAGGGUUUAGUUAUCCCCAAAUGUAAGAGUCACGAUUCAAAACUGUCACUGACUCGGAAUCAUCUUUAGUCAGGAAUAGUAUCUUCAAGCUGACAAGUUCCAAAUAUGUGUACUUAUGCUAACCAAACCGGUAGUUGGGGGAAAGCUCAAAAAUAACCCAUCUUUAUCUUUAAUUUUUCUCCUAAAAAUGGAAUGGCUUUCACUGAAACUGGCCAGGCCACUGCCAAUACAGUUACCACUGGUGUGUAUGGAACAGUCAAGUUACCUAUGUCGUUUGCAGAAAUCCUGAUUUUGGAAACGGCCUUUGCGCAGGCUGCCCCUUCUGCCCUAAUGCCUCCUGUGGAUACUCACAUGACUGGCUCUUCUCAUCACUGGUUUGCCUCAAGUGUCAGCUCUUCGGAGUAACCUCCCUCCAACACCAAGUUGCCAGUGACAUACAGAUCUACCCUGAAGAAAAACCAAAGUAAGACUAAUGGACCUCGAGGGGAAGAACAAUCCAAUCAACAUAAGUCAGUAAAAUGAUCCAGUGAUAAUAACUCAUACUUUCAAGAGGCAUGGAGAGUGAAGGUCAGGCAGGUUAAAUGAGAAGCCACUUUCCUCUCCUAUCUGGCAGAGAAGUUGUCAUUGCAUAGUGAAAUAAAUGCCUGCCUAUUUUAUUUAUUCUUUCCGUGUAGCUAAAUCUAUCAGUUUCCAUGGUGCCCCACAUUCACCAUGGAAACUCUGACAAGCUCGUUAUGCUUUAGGGAAAAAAACACACACACCAAAAAUCU